GUCUGCGUGGAGCCGACCUUGAAAUACCACCCUUUAAUGUUUGAUGUUCUAACGUGGACCCGUGAUCCGGGUUGCGGACAGUGUCUGGUGGGUAGUUUGACUGGGGCGGUCUCCUCCUAAAGAGUAACGGAGGAGCACGAAGGUUGGCUAAUCCUGGUCGGACAUCAGGAGGUUAGUGCAAUGGCAUAAGCCAGCUUGACUGCGAGCGUGACGGCGCGAGCAGGUGCGAAAGCAGGUCAUAGUGAUCCGGUGGUUCUGAAUGGAAGGGCCAUCGCUCAACGGAUAAAAGGUACUCCGGGGAUAACAGGCUGAUACCGCCCAAGAGUUCAUAUCGACGGCGGUGUUUGGCACCUCGAUGUCGGCUCAUCACAUCCUGGGGCUGAAGUAGGUCCCAAGGGUAUGGCUGUUCGCCAUUUAAAGUGGUACGCGAGCUGGGUUUAGAACGUCGUGAGACAGUUCGGUCCCUAUCUGCCGUGGGCGCUGGAGAACUGAGGGGGGCUGCUCCUAGUACGAGAGGACCGGAGUGGACGCAUCACUGGUGUUCGGGUUGUCAUGCCAAUGGCACUGCCCGGUAGCUAAAUGCGGAAGAGAUAAGUGCUGAAAGCAUCUAAGCACGAAACUUGCCCCGA
RNAcentral lists this ribosomal RNA (629 nucleotides) under Salmonella enterica subsp. enterica serovar Infantis. Its description in RNAcentral is "partial 23S ribosomal RNA". It matches the Rfam family "Bacterial large subunit ribosomal RNA", at positions 2174 to 2802 of the family's 2925-position model. RNAcentral also lists the same sequence under 7 other names. The record is from RNAcentral. Lineage: Bacteria; Pseudomonadati; Pseudomonadota; Gammaproteobacteria; Enterobacterales; Enterobacteriaceae.